RNAcentral lists this non-coding RNA (96 nucleotides) under chicken gut metagenome. RNAcentral describes it as "THF riboswitch". It matches the Rfam family "THF (Tetrahydrofolate) riboswitch aptamer". From Rfam's summary of the family: THF riboswitch presents a pseudoknot that joins P1-P2 and the loop of P3 and two THF binding. The record is from RNAcentral.
CAGAGUAGGGACCUAUGCGUUUAAGUGUCCGUGGGACGGGGAGUUGCCUGCGGAACGAAAGCCCGGCGCUGCGGUAUGGGUCCCGCAUCCCGCUGU